GAUGAACGCUAGCGGCAGGCCUAACACAUGCAAGUCGAGGGAGAAGCCCUUCGGGGCAGAAACCGGCGCACGGGUGCGUAACGCGUAUGCAACCUACCUUUCACAGGGGGAUAGCCCGGAGAAAUUUGGAUUAAUAUCCCAUAAUAUUGUUGGAUGGCAUCAUUUGGCAAUUAAAGUUACGAUGGUGGAAGAUGGGCAUGCGUCCUAUUAGCUAGUUGGCGAGGUAACGGCUCGCCAAGGCGACGAUAGGUAGGGGUCCUGAGAGGGAGAUCCCCCACACUGGUACUGAGACAGGGACCAGACUCCUACGGGAGGCAGCAGUGAGGAAUAUUGGUCAAUGGUCGGAAGACUGAACCAGCCAUGCCGCGUGCAGGAAGGCGGCCUUAUGGGUUGUAAACUGCUUUUAUAUGGGAAGAAUAAGGUGUACGUGUACAUUGAUGACGGUACCAUAUGAAUAAGCAUCGGCUAACUCCGUGCCAGCAGCCGCGGUAAUACGGAGGAUGCGAGCGUUAUUCGGAAUCAUUGGGUUUAAAGGGUCUGUAGGCGGGCUAUUAAGUCAGGGGUGAAAUAUUUCAGCUUAACUGGGAAAUUGCCUUUGAUACUGGUAGUCUUGAAUAUUUGUGAAGUUUUUGGAAUGUGUAGUGUAGCGGUGAAAUGCAUAGAUAUUACACAGAACACCGAUUGCGGAGGCAGGGGACUAACAAAUAAUUGACGCUGAGAGACGAGAGCGUGGGGAGCGAACAGGAUUAGAUACCCUGGUAGUCCACGCUGUAAACGAUGGAUACUAGCUGUUUGGUAGGAAUAUUGAGUGGCUAAGCGAAAGUGAUAAGUAUCCCACCUGGGGAGUACGCACGCAAGUGUGAAACUCAAAGGAAUUGACGGGGGCCCGCACAAGCGGUGGAGCAUGUGGUUUAAUUCGAUGAUACGCGAGGAACCUUACCAAGGUUUAAAUGGUGACUGACGUACCUAGAGA
This 973-nucleotide ribosomal RNA is filed under the name Capnocytophaga sp. oral taxon 338. Its description in RNAcentral is "bacterial SSU rRNA". It matches the Rfam family "Bacterial small subunit ribosomal RNA", at positions 28 to 1006 of the family's 1533-position model. The record is from RNAcentral. Lineage: Bacteria; Pseudomonadati; Bacteroidota; Flavobacteriia; Flavobacteriales; Flavobacteriaceae.